Molecule: long non-coding RNA, 395 nt
Filed under: Homo sapiens (human)
Lineage: Eukaryota; Metazoa; Chordata; Mammalia; Primates; Hominidae
Description: HSALNT0059718
Source: RNAcentral
AGGUGCGCUUUGCUUCCUAACCCGUUGCCGGGUUGGAGAUUCCACCUCCGAAGUUUUCUUUCUGACUUUUGAUUUUACAUUCCUAGUACAGUGGAGAAGCCCAGGCGGCCUAGAAUCCAGUGUCGUCCGUGAGUGCUUGGCUGGUGUUCAAGUGCAUCUUCCAGCCUGAGACCGCGUGGACUCGCUCAUCGUGAGGGCGAGAGGAGGAUAAGCCCAUUGGGCUGUCGGCUGAGAGUGAGGUGCGGGACCAUCCACAAUAUUGUUUGAACAUCUGAAGACAUGGGGAACUUGCCAUCUGAUAUCUGAUAACAGACUUCCUGUAAAGCAGGACUGGUAGUUUCCUGAUAACAAAUUCUUCAAUAUGAAGCUCUGCUGUGCAGGUGGCUUCUCCAAGA